RNAcentral lists this ribosomal RNA (292 nucleotides) under uncultured bacterium. Its description in RNAcentral is "partial 16S ribosomal RNA". It matches the Rfam family "Bacterial small subunit ribosomal RNA", at positions 505 to 796 of the family's 1533-position model. The record is from RNAcentral.
GUGCCAGCCGCCGCGGUAAUACAGAGGUCUCGAGCGUUAGGCGGAAUCACUGGGCUUAAAGCGUGUGUAGGCGGAUCGUUAAGUACCUUGUGAAAUCCCACGGCUUAACCGUGGAAUGGCUGGGUAUACUGGCGGUCUUGAGCAACCUAAGGGCGAGCGGAACAGACGGUGGAGCGGUGAAAUGCGUAGAUAUCGUCUGGAACGCCAAUGGUGAAAACAGCUCGCUGGGGACUCGCUGACGCUGAGACACGAAAGCCAGGGGAGCGAACGGGAUUAGAUACCCGAGUAGUCC